CCUACGGGUGGCAGCAGUGAGGAAUAUUGGUCAAUGGACGAGAGUCUGAACCAGCCAAGUAGCGUGAAGGAUGACUGCCCUAUGGGUUGUAAACUUCUUUUAUAUGGGAAUAAAAUGUUCCACGUGUGGGAUUUUGUAUGUACCAUAUGAAUAAGGAUCGGCUAACUCCGUGCCAGCAGCCGAGGUAAUACGGAGGAUCCGAGCGUUAUCCGGAUUUAUUGGGUUUAAAGGGAGCGUAGGUGGAUUGUUAAGUCAGUUGUGAAAGUUUGUGGCUCAACCGUAAAAUUGCAGUUGAAACUGGCAGUCUUGAGUACAGUAGAGGUGGGCGGAAUUCGUGGUGUAGCGGUGAAAUGCUUAGAUAUCACGAAGAACUCCGAUUGCGAAGGCAGUUCACUGGACUGCAACUGACACUGAGGCUCGAAAGUGUGGGUAUCAAACAGGAUUAGAUACCCCUGUAGUC
This 460-nucleotide ribosomal RNA is filed under the name uncultured bacterium. Its description in RNAcentral is "partial 16S ribosomal RNA". It matches the Rfam family "Bacterial small subunit ribosomal RNA", at positions 338 to 795 of the family's 1533-position model. The record is from RNAcentral.